UACGUAGGGUGCAAGCGUUAAUCGGAAUUACUGGGCGUAAAGCGUGUGCAGGCGGUUAUGUAAGACAGGUGUGAAAUCCCAGGGCUUAACCUUGGAACUGCAUUUGUGACUGCAUAGCUAGAGUACGGUAGAGGGGGAUGGAAUUCCGCGUGUAGCAGUGAAAUGCGUAGAUAUGCGGAGGAACACCGAUGGCGAAGGCAAUCCCCUGGACCUGUACUGACGCUCAUGCACGAAAGCGUGGGGAGCAAACAGG
Molecule: ribosomal RNA, 253 nt
Filed under: uncultured bacterium
Lineage: Bacteria
Description: partial 16S ribosomal RNA
Rfam family: Bacterial small subunit ribosomal RNA
Source: RNAcentral